AGGACCACGGUCGGAUUGGCGCCGGCUUCGUAUU
This 34-nucleotide small RNA is filed under the name Sinorhizobium meliloti 2011. Its description in RNAcentral is "putative ncRNA". The record is from RNAcentral. Lineage: Bacteria; Pseudomonadati; Pseudomonadota; Alphaproteobacteria; Hyphomicrobiales; Rhizobiaceae.